UGAAUUGGGCAAUACGAUUAGGGUUAGUGAUUGGGACUUGGUCACGAUUCAAUUAAGACUUGAUCUAUUAAUUGGAUUAAUUGCGAGACAAUUUUUUUUUUUCUAUCAUAUUCUCCGGAAUAUGUUAGAGGUACCCUAGUUGGCCCAUGAAUGGCCAUGCCAAAGGUCGAAAGACUUCUUCCUUUAUAUCUGUAAAAUAGUCCUGAAUUGCAUAUCCUCUGUCUUUUCUCUGUUCUUGUAGAGAGGUCUCUCCAGUCUCCACCGCCUUACUCCCCUCUCCAAAAAUCAGAGAGGGAUCAGAGUAUCAUGCAAGGCGACCCCCCUCCAUCCCUUAUUAUUUGCAAAACCAGAGAAUUCAUAGAAAAAUGUCUAGAAUCUCAGCCAAGCAACAAUCUGUUAUAAUUAUCCUCUUAGUGCUUACAUUGACACAAUUAGGAAGAGGGACCAUAGAGAUGAUUAGGCUGCUGGAAUUUGUUCAAAAAAAUCAGGAGGAUGAUAUGGAGCUUCAUACAUUUCUUCAAAAAGCUGCGGCAGUGGAGAAUCAAUACUCAGACUAAUCGCCUCUUCUGUAAUAAUAAAGGAGAUUAUAUUUCACCUGUUUUUCAACUGCUGCUACACAAGAAAAAUACAAAACAGACUCAUACCAAGAUAUGAUGAGGACAUCAGGUUGGGAGACAUCAUAGAAGCCAUCCAGAAAUUCACCAAAAACAUAAGCAGUUGGGGAACCCACUGGACUCUACUUGCUGCAAUCUAUUAAGGCAUUUGAAAUGAGAGAAACAGAAGAUUGAGACAACAUACAAUGUGGCCACCAGAACACGUCAUAAAGGAAUUUACAAAGGAUAUCAACUUCUUUGUCAAUACGAUAUCCUUCCUGCACGAGGAUAUCAACUUCCUGCAUGUGCUUAACAGAAAGUUAACUAUGAUUUUGAAGAGGUCUAACGAGCAAUGGUGUAUUUCAAGAAUUGUGUUUCCGAAUGACUAUUUUAAUAAAUGCAAACCAUAAAAGCUGGCAUAAACCUAACUUUCGUUCUAUAGUUACUGGUUGGGAUGUAAUCACGCAAACAAGCUGAGCAGAGCUAUUUCCUAACAUUUAGAUUCGGUUUCUGCUCGUUACCUUUGUAUUGUUGCAGGGCUCGAAUUCGUUUAGUUCCGACGAUCCGAGUUUGCUUCAUUUGGCAUUUUGUCGUGCCUGAGCCCU
This 1198-nucleotide long non-coding RNA is filed under the name Zostera marina. RNAcentral's name for it is "long non-coding RNA (ZMAR_LNC001374)". The record is from RNAcentral. Lineage: Eukaryota; Viridiplantae; Streptophyta; Magnoliopsida; Alismatales; Zosteraceae.